Molecule: ribosomal RNA, 747 nt
Filed under: Comamonas aquatica
Lineage: Bacteria; Pseudomonadati; Pseudomonadota; Betaproteobacteria; Burkholderiales; Comamonadaceae
Description: bacterial SSU rRNA
Rfam family: Bacterial small subunit ribosomal RNA
Source: RNAcentral
GUCGAGCGAACAGAAGGGAGCUUGCUCCCGGAUGUUAGCGGCGGACGGGUGAGUAACACGUGGGUAACCUGCCUGUAAGACUGGGAUAACUCCGGGAAACCGGAGCUAAUACCGGAUAGUUCCUUGAACCGCAUGGUUCAAGGAUGAAAGACGGUUUCGGCUGUCACUUACAGAUGGACCCGCGGCGCAUUAGCUAGUUGGUGGGGUAAUGGCUCACCAAGGCGACGAUGCGUACCCGACCUGAGAGGGUGAUCGGCCACACUGGGACUGAGACACGGCCCAGACUCCUACGGGAGGCAGCAGUAGGGAAUCUUCCGCAAUGGACGAAAGUCUGACGGAGCAACGCCGCGUGAGUGAUGAAGGUUUUCGGAUCGUAAAGCUCUGUUGUUAGGGAAAAACAAGUGCGAGAGUAACUGCUCGCACCUUGACGGUACCUAACCAGAAAGCCACGGCUAACUACGUGCCAGCAGCCGCGGUAAUACGUAGGUGGCAAGCGUUGUCCGGAAUUAUUGGGCGUAAAGGGCUCGCAGGCGGUUUCUUAAGUCUGAUGUGAAAGCCCCCGGCUCAACCGGGGAGGGUCAUUGGAAACUGGGAAACUUGAGUGCAAAAGAGGAGAGUGAAUUCCACGUGUAGCGGUGAAAUGCGUAGAGAUGUGGAGGAACACCAGUGCGAAGGCGACUCUCUGGUCUGUAACUGACGCUGAGGAGCGAAAGCGUGGGGAGCGAACAGGAUUACAUACGCUGCUAC